AUGGCGGAGGACGCCGGCGACAGGGACCAGCAGCAGCAGCAGCCCGCCGCGGCCGUGGGGCCCGGAGCAGGGCACGCCUGCGGGGAGGACGGCGGCGGCAGGGACGAGAGCUCCGUCAAGCUCUUCGUCGGCCAGGUGCCCAAGCUCAUGACGGAGGCCGAGCUGGCCGCCAUGUUCCGCGACGUCGCCGUCGUCGACGAGGUCACCGUCAUCCGCGACAAGGCCACCAAGGCGUCCCGAGGCUGCUGCUUCCUGAUCUGCCCAUCAAGGGAGGAGGCUGACAAGGCAGUGAAUGCAUUUCACAACAAACGCACGCUUCCUGGGGCCCCAAGUCCAUUGCAAGUAAAAUAUGCCGAUGGAGAGUUGGAAAGGCUGGAGCACAAACUUUUCAUCGGAAUGCUCCCCAAAAAUGUAACAGAUGCUGAAAUGACUGAUUUAUUUUCACAAUAUGGAAAUAUCAAAGAUUUGCAGAUUUUGAGAGGUUCACAACAGACGAGCAAAGCCGGCUGUGCCUUUCUGAAGUAUGAAACAAAAGACCAGGCUGUGGCAGCUAUCGAAGCUUUAAAUGGGAAGCACAAAAUAGAGGGUUCAAGUGUACCUUUGGUUGUAAAAUGGGCUGACACAGAAAAAGAAAGGCAGGCUCGAAAAGCACAAAAGGCUCAAUUUCCGCCGUCUAAUAUGUCAAAUGCAAAUGCCAUGCAACAGAGUUCAUUAUUUGGUGCCUUACAGAUGGGAUAUGUGCCUCCAUAUAACGGAUUUGGCUACCAGCCACAAGGAACCUAUGGGCUUAUGCAGUACCCUUUAUCUCCAAUGCAAAAUCAAGCAGGCUUCCAGAAUAUGGUUCAGCCUGUCAAUCAAGGAAGCUCAAUACGGGGCGUUAAUUCUGAACUAUCCCCUAAUUCAGUUGCAAGGUCAUUCAAUUCAAUGCAGUUGGGCAGCCCUUAUCCAGCUGGGCCUGGUAUGCAGUAUCCUGGGUCAUAUCCUGGUGGUGGCAUCAAUAGUCGUCCUUACAUGAAUUCUCUUAAUUCAGUUAAAGUUCCGAAUGCAAAUGCUACAUCUCCCACAUCUUCAAGUACCAGCAGCAACACUGGUCCUCAGCUAGAGGGUCCUCCUGGAGCUAACUUGUUUAUCUAUCACAUCCCGCAAGAAUUCGGCGACCAAGAUCUAGCAAAUGCAUUUCAGAGUUUUGGUAGAGUAUUGAGUGCCAAAGUGUUUGUAGACAAAACGACCGGUGCUAGUAAAUGCUUUGGUUUCGUAAGCUACGAUUCUCCUGCUCCUGCGCAGGCAGCCAUAAGUAUGAUGAAUGGGUUCCAAUUAGGUGGUAAAAAGCUGAAAGUACAACUCAAGAGAGACAACAGCAAGCACAAUAAACUUUAUUGA
RNAcentral lists this ribosomal RNA (1380 nucleotides) under Triticum aestivum (bread wheat). Its description in RNAcentral is "partial small subunit ribosomal RNA". The record is from RNAcentral. Lineage: Eukaryota; Viridiplantae; Streptophyta; Magnoliopsida; Poales; Poaceae.